Molecule: ribosomal RNA, 756 nt
Filed under: uncultured fungus
Lineage: Eukaryota; Fungi
Description: eukaryotic LSU rRNA
Rfam family: Eukaryotic large subunit ribosomal RNA (bases 464-756)
Source: RNAcentral
CUUCGGCCGCUCUGAUCUAUACACACCUGUGAACUGUUGGCCUUCGGGUCUUUAAAUACAACUGUGACGAACGUAAAUUAUUAUAACAAAUAAAACUUUUAACAACGGAUCUCUUGGCUCUCGCAUCGAUGAAGAACGCAGCGAAAUGCGAUAAGUAAUGUGAAUUGCAGAAUUCAGUGAAUCAUCGAAUCUUUGAACGCACCUUGCGCCCGUUGGUAUUCCGACGGGCAUGCCUGUUUGAGUGUCGUGAACAACCUCAACCUUGAUUGGUUUUACCAUCAAGGCUUGGACUUGGGUGUUGCUGCUGCAAAGUGGCUCGCCUUAAAAUCAUUAGCUGGACUUGUCUAUGACUUGGUUCGACUCGAUGUAAUAAGUAUUCAUCGGGGACAGGGUAAAACCUGGCCAAGGCUUGAUGCCGUCUGCUUCUAAUCAUGUUCUCACUAUGAGACGCUACUUUACUGUGUGGCCUCAAAUCAGGUAGGAUUACCCGCUGAACUUAAGCAUAUCAAUAAGCGGAGGAAAAGAAACUAACAAGGAUUCCCCUAGUAACGGCGAGUGAAGCGGGAUGAGCUCAAAUUUGUAAUCUGGUGGACUCAGUUCAUCCGAGUUGUAAUCUAUAGAAGUGUUUUCCGCGCUGGACCGUGUCUAAGUCCCUUGGAACAGGGUGUCAGAGAGGGUGAGAAUCCCGUGCUUGAUACGAUCACCAGUGCUAUGUGAUACACUUUCAACGAGUCGAGUUGUUUGGGAAUGCAGCUC